Molecule: ribosomal RNA, 253 nt
Filed under: uncultured bacterium
Lineage: Bacteria
Description: partial 16S ribosomal RNA
Rfam family: Bacterial small subunit ribosomal RNA
Source: RNAcentral
UACGUAGGGUGCGACCGUUAAUCGGAAUUACUGGGCGUAAAGUGUGCGCAGGCGGCUUCGCAAGUCGAGUGUGAAAUCCCCGAGCUUAACUUGGGAAUUGCGCUCGAAACUACGGAGCUGGAGUGUGGCAGAGGAAGGUGGAAUUCCACGUGUAGCGGUGAAAUGCGUAGAGAUGUGGAGGAACACCGAUGGCGAAGGCAGCCUUCUGGGCCAACACUGACGCUCAUGCACGAAAGCGUGGGGAGCAAACAGG